GGGCCCGUGGCUCAAUCUGGGAGAGCAAUCGGCUCUUAACCGAUCGGUUGUGGGUUCAAAUCCCACCGGGCCCG
RNAcentral lists this transfer RNA (74 nucleotides) under candidate division MSBL1 archaeon SCGC-AAA382F02. RNAcentral describes it as "candidate divison MSBL1 archaeon SCGC-AAA382F02 tRNA". It matches the Rfam family "tRNA". Rfam says of the family: Transfer RNA (tRNA) molecules are approximately 80 nucleotides in length. Their secondary structure includes four short double-helical elements and three loops (D, anti-codon, and T loops). Lineage: Archaea; Methanobacteriati; Methanobacteriota. The record is from Rfam by way of RNAcentral.